RNAcentral lists this transfer RNA (72 nucleotides) under Ovis aries (sheep). It matches the Rfam family "tRNA". From Rfam's summary of the family: Transfer RNA (tRNA) molecules are approximately 80 nucleotides in length. Their secondary structure includes four short double-helical elements and three loops (D, anti-codon, and T loops). Further hydrogen bonds mediate the characteristic L-shaped molecular structure. tRNAs have two regions of fundamental functional importance: the anti-codon, which is responsible for specific mRNA codon recognition, and the 3' end, to which the tRNAs corresponding amino acid is attached (by aminoacyl-tRNA synthetases). tRNAs cope with the degeneracy of the genetic code in two manners: having more than one tRNA (with a specific anti-codon) for a particular amino acid; and 'wobble' base-pairing, i.e. permitting non-standard base-pairing at the 3rd anti-codon position. Lineage: Eukaryota; Metazoa; Chordata; Mammalia; Artiodactyla; Bovidae. The record is from Rfam by way of RNAcentral.
UCCCUGGAGGCUUAGACGGUAAAGCGUCUGCCUGCAAUGCGGGAGACCUGGGUUCGAUCCUUGGGUGGGGAA